AAAAAAAGUGAGUAAGCCAAAACAGUUUUGGAACGAGGAGGGAAAAGUAGAGUCCAGUAGCUGUAAUGGCAGACAUUUUACAGUCCAUAAACAAACCAAAGUUAAUAUAUCUAUCUGCACACUGCAAUGAAACUAGGAUAGAUCCUAUCCUUAUAUCAUUUUUACAUUUCUCAUUUCUCUUUAGAAGUAUGCAAUUUACCAUAAAGAAAGAAAAAAAAAAUGUAAUCAGUGCAGGUUUCUAUGGUUACUGACUGUUUUCCUUGGAAUUAGAAUCUGCUGUCUCCCUCUCUACCACAGAUAAACUUUCUUCCAUUCUGUCUCUCUAUAUACUUUUGGGUGCAGGCAUGACUGGGUGGUUAAAAAGUUUACUUCACAGAUAGACAGGUGUGGUUUUGGAUUUCAUUGCACUGCACAGAAUUUGGUUGCCAACAUGACUUGGAUGGGUAAGCAUCAUGCUUUCAUUGUGGAAAUGUUUGUCAAGAACAAUGAAUCCAUAACUGCAACAUGAAGAGCGUUCUGUGUACACUUCAGGUUUGGUAGACAUAAUCCCAUACCUACUUGAAACAUGAUUUUGUUAUGGGUUACCAACUUCAGAGCAAGUGAAUCAGCAUUGAAACAAAAAUCAAUUGGCCGACCUCAGAAUGCCAGAAGUCUGGAAAAUGUGGCAGCGGUAAGAGCUUCAGUUCAACAUUCUCCACAACAUUCUGCACGGAAACACACCGCUACUCUUAGGUUUUUUGAUAGAAGUUUGCAAAGAAAUCUUCACAACAAACUGCAAAUGCAUCCAUACAAAAUGGUUUUGCCACAAGAACUCAGCGAAAGAGACUUUGAAACUCACAGAUCAUUGUGUUUGGAAAUUCAACAAUAUGUCUCCCAUGAAGCUUUUGUGUUGUUUAGUAAUGAAGCCCAUUUUCACCUGUGUGGCAGCGUGAAUAUGCAAAAUUUCUGAUAUUGGGCCGAGAACAACCCUUGUGAGUUGCACAAACAUCCCUUGCAUUGUUCUCGGGUGACCAUAUGGUGUGCAGUGGCAGAAUUUAGCAUUUGGGGACUGUACUUCUUCAAAGAGGACAAUGUUACAGUGACUGUAAACUCUGAUCGAUAUUGUGUGAUGCUAGAGACUUUUCUGAAACCAAAAUUGAAUGAACUUGACAAUAGGGACAAUGUUUGCUUUUAACAGCCCACACUUCUUGACAUACUAUGGGGAUUUUUGUUGUGCAUGGGAACUGAAAAGAGGUUCACCUACCUUCCUCUCAUGGAUGCCUGUCUAGCAGUAAUCUCUCCGACAAUCCUGCCCUACCCCUGUCACUCAGUAUAAGCAGCUGCUAUCUGACCAACCUGGGCGCAAAUUCCCUAACGUCCAUUCAUGAUACCUCUGGCAGGCAAAAAGAGACCGAUGCUCACCUCUCUUCCCCCACUUCUCCUCUUGUGCUUCCUCUUCCAGUCAGCCCCUUGACCAUUGAUGUCAUGACCCUCUUCUGGCUCAUCCCCACAAUUUUAAGGGAGAUGUUCCCUGGUCAUUUGAUCUCAUUGCACAUUGACAUCAGUUGGCUCACCUGAUCACCUGAUUUGAACCUGUGUGACAUUUUUCAGUGAGGAUACCUGAAAUCAAAGGUAUACACUCAUUGCCCUCGAUCUUUUGAGCAAUUAAAAGAUGCCAUUCGUCAAGAAACUGGUGCCAUUCCACAUGAAAUGGACCCAUCAAGUUAUUGACAACUUUUGUGAAUGCCUUCAACAAUGAUAUAAUUUUUAAAACCAAAUGAAACAAAAUGGCAUUAGAUGUACAUUUAAAAAAUAAAAACAUGUUUUUCGUU
Octopus bimaculoides (California two-spot octopus) is the source of this 1811-nucleotide long non-coding RNA. RefSeq lists it as uncharacterized. The record is from RefSeq and is a predicted model, not a curated record. NCBI's taxonomy places the organism in Eukaryota, Metazoa, Mollusca, Cephalopoda, Octopoda, Octopodidae.